Long non-coding RNA from Myiozetetes cayanensis, 361 nucleotides. RefSeq lists it as uncharacterized. The transcript is spliced from 2 exons. The record is from RefSeq and is a predicted model, not a curated record. Lineage: Eukaryota; Metazoa; Chordata; Aves; Passeriformes; Tyrannidae.
GGAAAUUUCCUCUGGAAACCAGCUUUGUUCCAAAGUUCAGGCAAAUAAAAUGACUCUUAAAUGUGCCGACAGGACGAGGAAGUCUCAAGUUGGACUGGGUGCAACAUGAAGAAAGGAGCCCUGAAAACCGGGUGGUGAAUGAAAACCUUGCAGGAUCCUUGGAAUAAUGGUUGCAGCAUGACAAAUAUCUUUAAAAGAAACAAACAUAAAUUAAAAACCCAAUGCAUGCCUGUUUCCCUCCCGUCUGGAGUUACCAGGGGAGGGCUAGCCUAAACGACCACGGAGGAGGAAUGUCUUUUUCCUACAAUAAAAGAGAAAAGGCGGGGAAAAAAAAAAAAAAAAAAAAAAAAAAAAAAGAAAA